AAAAGGCCUUACCUACCCUUGACAUGUACGGAAUUCUGCUGAGAGGUGGAAGUGCCCGAAAGGGAGCCGUAACACAGGUGCUGCAUGGCUGUCGUCAGCUCGUGUCGUGAGAUGUUGGGUUAAGUCCCGCAACGAGCGCAACCCUUGUCCCUAGUUGCUACGCAAGAGCACUCCAGGGAGACUGCCGGUGACAAACCGGAGGAAGGUGGGGAUGACGUCAAGUCCUCAUGGCCCUUAUGGGUAGGGCUUCACACGUCAUACAAUGGUCGGAACAGAGGGUUGCCAAGCCGCGAGGUGGAGCCAAUCCCAGAAAACCGAUCGUAGUCCGGAUCGCAGUCUGCAACUCGACUGCGUGAAGCUGGAAUCGCUAGUAAUCGCGGAUCAGCAUGCC
This 391-nucleotide ribosomal RNA is filed under the name Burkholderia sp. VI47. RNAcentral describes it as "bacterial SSU rRNA". It matches the Rfam family "Bacterial small subunit ribosomal RNA", at positions 963 to 1358 of the family's 1533-position model. The record is from RNAcentral. Lineage: Bacteria; Pseudomonadati; Pseudomonadota; Betaproteobacteria; Burkholderiales; Burkholderiaceae.